This 70-nucleotide transfer RNA is filed under the name Loxodonta africana (African savanna elephant). It matches the Rfam family "tRNA". Rfam says of the family: Transfer RNA (tRNA) molecules are approximately 80 nucleotides in length. Their secondary structure includes four short double-helical elements and three loops (D, anti-codon, and T loops). Lineage: Eukaryota; Metazoa; Chordata; Mammalia; Proboscidea; Elephantidae. The record is from Rfam by way of RNAcentral.
GCGGUGGUAGUUCAGUGGUAGAAUUCUCACCUUCCAUGUGGCAGACCCGAGUUUGAUUCCGACCAAUGCA